GACUGCUCCGGUGGUCAAAGUGGUUAAAGAAUCUACCUCAAAUGCGGGAGGUGACGGGUUCGAUCCCCGGCUGAGUUA
Potamilus streckersoni is the source of this 78-nucleotide non-coding RNA. The record is from the annotation of a GenBank genome assembly. Lineage: Eukaryota; Metazoa; Mollusca; Bivalvia; Unionida; Unionidae.